Molecule: ribosomal RNA, 658 nt
Filed under: Staphylococcus capitis
Lineage: Bacteria; Bacillati; Bacillota; Bacilli; Caryophanales; Staphylococcaceae
Description: partial 23S ribosomal RNA
Rfam family: Bacterial large subunit ribosomal RNA
Source: RNAcentral
AGGCGAUUAAGGACGUGCUAAUCUGCGAUAAGCGUCGGUAAGGUGAUAUGAACCGUUAUAACCGGCGAUUUCCGAAUGGGGAAACCCAGUGUGUUUCGACACACUAUCAUUAACUGAAUCCAUAGGUUAAUGAGGCGAACCGGGGGAACUGAAACAUCUAAGUACCCCGAGGAAAAGAAAUCAACCGAGAUUCCCCCAGUAGCGGCGAGCGAACGGGGAGCAGCCCAGAGUCUGAAUCAGUGUGUGUGUUAGUGGAAGCGUCUGGAAAGACGCGCGAUACAGGGUGACAGCCCCGUACACAAAAAUGCACAUAUUGUGAGCUCGAUGAGUAGGGCGGGACACGUGGUAUCCUGUCUGAAUAUGGGGGGACCAUCCUCCAAGGCUAAAUACUCCUGACUGACCGAUAGUGAACCAGUACCGUGAGGGAAAGGCGAAAAGAACCCCGGCGAGGGGAGUGAAAAAGAACCUGAAACCGUGUACGUACAAGCAGUGGGAGCCUCUUUUAUGGGGUGACUGCGUACCUUUUGUAUAAUGGGUCAGCGACUUAUAUUCUGUAGCAAGGUUAACCGAAUAGGGGAGCCGAAGGGAAACCGAGUCUUAACUGGGCGUUAAGUUGCAGGGUAUAGACCCGAAACCCGGUGAUCUAGCCAUGGGCAGA